AGGACGAACGCUGGCGGCGUGCUUAACACAUGCAAGUCGAGCGGAAAGGCCCUUCGGGGUACUCGAGCGGCGAACGGGUGAGUAACACGUGAGUAAUCUGCCCCUAGCUCUGGGAUAGCUCCGGGAAACCGGGAUUAAUACUGGAUACGACCACCUUAGACAUCUUUUGUGGUGGAAAGAAUUUCGGCUAGGGAUGAGCUCGCGGCCUAUCAGCUUGUUGGUGGGGUAACGGCCUACCAAGGCGACGACGGGUAGCCGGCCUGAGAGGGCGACCGGCCACACUGGGACUGAGACACGGCCCAGACUCCUACGGGAGGCAGCAGUGGGAAUAUUGCGCAAUGGGCGAAAGCCUGACGCAGCGACGCCGCGUGGGGAUGAAGGCCUUCGGGUUGUAAACCCUUUCAGCAGGGACGAAGCGAAAGUGACGGUACCUGCAGAAGAAGCGCCGGCUAACUACGUGCCAGCAGCCGC
This 471-nucleotide ribosomal RNA is filed under the name uncultured bacterium. RNAcentral describes it as "SSU rRNA". It matches the Rfam family "Bacterial small subunit ribosomal RNA", at positions 26 to 518 of the family's 1533-position model. The record is from RNAcentral.